Molecule: long non-coding RNA, 210 nt
Filed under: Chrysemys picta bellii (western painted turtle)
Lineage: Eukaryota; Metazoa; Chordata; Testudines; Emydidae
Description: lncRNA (ENSCPBG00000007915.1)
Source: RNAcentral
GGGAUUGUUCCGGCCAGCUCCCGGCCAAUAGAAGAUCCCUGCCUGCAGCACCUUAGUGAAGACGCGGCCCGAGUGAUGGAGAAGCCAUUCCUUUCUUUCUGGCGUAGCGUCUUCCCACGUGACUGAGCGGCGGGGACACAGAACGCCGUCGGCAGCAUUUUCCAUCGCGAGCAUCCGGGUAUUGACCUGGCUUCCUUGAGGUUUAUCUUC